RNAcentral lists this ribosomal RNA (433 nucleotides) under uncultured bacterium. Its description in RNAcentral is "partial 16S ribosomal RNA". It matches the Rfam family "Bacterial small subunit ribosomal RNA", at positions 28 to 507 of the family's 1533-position model. The record is from RNAcentral.
GACGAACGCUGGCGGCAUGCCUAACACAUGCAAGUCGAACGAUACCUUCUGGUCUAGUGUCGCAAGGCUGCGUACCGCGUGUUAACCUGCCCUUAGUUUCGCAUUAACUCCCCGAAAGGGGUGGUAAUAUCGGUUUAUGUCUUCGUACCAAAUAUUUCUCGCUUUUGGUUGGUCCGGCGUUGUUUUUGCUAGUUGGUAGGUUAAACGCCUACCAAUGCGACGAUCCAUAGCUGGUCGGUAAGGAUGAUCAGCAAAACUGGGACUGACACACGGCCAAAAUUCCUAGGGAAGGAAGAAGGGGGGAAUAUGCGACAAUGGGCGAAAGCCGAAUCAAGCAAUGCCGCGUGGGUGUGGAAGGAGUUAGGGUUGUAAAGCUGUUUGACACGGGAUGAUAAUGACGGUACCGGGAGAAUAAGCUCCGGCUAACUCCGUG